GGAUUUCCCCUAGUAAUGGCGAAUGAAGAGGGAAAAGCCCAAAUUUGUAAUCUGGCUCUUUCAGAGUCCGAGUUGUAAUUUUAAGAACUGUUUUCAGUGCUGGACCAUGUACAAGUCUGUUGAAAAGCAGCAUCAUAGAAGGUGAUAAUCCUGUUCAUGAUAUGGACUACCAGUGCAAUAUGAUACAGUCUCUAAGAGUCGAGUUGUUUGGGAAUGCAGCUCAAAGUGGGUGGUAAAUUCCAUCUAAGGCUAAAUAUUGAUGAGAGACCGAUAGCAAACAAGUACCGUGAGGGAAAGAUGAAAAGAACUUUGGAAAGAGAGUUAACAGUACGUGAAAUUGUUAAAAGGGAAACAAUUGAAGUUAGACUUGUUAUUAUUAGUUCAACCUUUUUUAAAGGAGUAUUCUAAUGAUUAACAGACCAACAUCAAUUUUUGGGUGUUGGAUAAGGGUUUAGGGAAAUGUAGCAGUCUCUGACUGUGUUAUAGUCCUUCAGAGCUUUGAUACAAUGCCUAAGAUUGAGGAAUGCA
RNAcentral lists this ribosomal RNA (528 nucleotides) under Puccinia luzulae-maximae. RNAcentral describes it as "eukaryotic LSU rRNA". It matches the Rfam family "Eukaryotic large subunit ribosomal RNA", at positions 71 to 604 of the family's 3401-position model. Lineage: Eukaryota; Fungi; Basidiomycota; Pucciniomycetes; Pucciniales; Pucciniaceae. The record is from RNAcentral.